Molecule: ribosomal RNA, 430 nt
Filed under: Bacteroidota bacterium
Lineage: Bacteria; Pseudomonadati; Bacteroidota
Description: Bacteroidetes bacterium partial 16S ribosomal RNA
Rfam family: Bacterial small subunit ribosomal RNA
Source: RNAcentral
UAGGGAAUCUUCGGCAAUGGGGGGAACCCUGACCGAGCAACGCCGCGUGAGUGAAGAAGGUUUUCGGAUCGUAAAGCUCUGUUGUUAAGGAAGAACGAGUGUGAGAAUGGAAAGUUCAUACUGUGACGGUACUUAACCAGAAAGGGACGGCUAACUACGUGCCAGCAGCCGCGGUAAUACGUAGGUCCCGAGCGUUGUCCGGAUUUAUUGGGCGUAAAGCGAGCGCAGGCGGUUAGAUAAGUCUGAUGUGAAAGCCCCCGGCUCAACCGGGGAGGGUCAUUGGAAACUGGUUGACUUGAGUGCAGAAGAGGAGAGUGGAAUUCCAUGUGUAGCGGUGAAAUGCGUAGAUAUAUGGAGGAACACCAGUGGCGAAGGCGACUCUCUGGUCUGUAACUGACGCUGAGGUUCGAAAGCGUGGGUAGCAAACAGG